Flavobacterium sp. FPG59 is the source of this 76-nucleotide small RNA. It matches the Rfam family "Flavo-1 RNA". The record is from Rfam. NCBI's taxonomy places the organism in Bacteria, Pseudomonadati, Bacteroidota, Flavobacteriia, Flavobacteriales, Flavobacteriaceae.
CCCUAGCCCUGAUAGCAGUGGAAAUCCUUUUAGCGCCGCGGCGAAUAAAAGAUUGUAACAAAUAGCAGGAAAUAGC